Molecule: ribosomal RNA, 240 nt
Filed under: uncultured bacterium
Lineage: Bacteria
Description: partial 16S ribosomal RNA
Rfam family: Bacterial small subunit ribosomal RNA
Source: RNAcentral
GAUUAUGGCUCAGGAUGAACGCUAGCUACAGGCUUAACACAUGCAAGUCGAGGGGAAACGACAUCGAAAGCUUGCUUUUGAUGGGCGUCGACCGGCGCACGGGUGAGUAACGCGUAUCCAACCUGCCCACCACUUGGGGAUAACCUUGCGAAAGUAAGACUAAUACCCAAUGACAUCCCACGAAGACAUCUGAAUGGGAUUAAAGAUUUAUCGGUGAUGGAUGGGGAUGCGUCUGAUUAG